AGACCGGUGAGGGAGCCCCGAGGAGCAACGAGCAGGCAGCACAGGGUGGGACCGGCCAACCGGAUACUCACAUUGGACCGUUUUUACAUUUAUUUGUUUUAGAGGUUUAAACGUUAACACCGGAGUGCACGAGACACAUAAAGCGGCAGUGUGGUCAGGGUGAACUUGCGGGUUUAACGUCUCGUCGAAACCUCUGGAACUGUCAGAAAAAAAUGAUUGAGAGUUAAGGUGUGGCUGAGGGUUUUCUGUAGGCUCCAUCACUGAAAAACGUUAGAAAACGGACUGUGAGAACAGUGUUGUGUGUCCAGUUAGGAAUGAGACUGUAUCUAGCCAACAAUGGCUUUAUAGAUUCUGUUCAGUCAUUUUCAUCAGGGAAGAUAUUACAUAACAAAUGUAUUGCCAUCUUGAUGUGCGCACCUUUUUGGCUCAAGUCCCUCGCAGUAGCCCUAGAUUAAUUCUACUAUCGCGCAGUUAAAAAGUAAGUCGGGUAUUUUUGUUUCUGCUCGGCAGGUCGUUUUUGGUUUCCUUAGUCUGUGAAAUGUAACGGACGUGGCAACUUUACAGAAGCCAGCCCUGCUGAAUGCCACAGGCAGACUGGGCGUGGGGGAAACGUACCAAACAGAGCCUAAUAAUCCUCAAAUAGGCCUGUCAUCCAAGCGCGGUACAAAUUGCGCAUAUUUGACAUAGUAGCCUAUAACCGUACUGACAAGUGCCUCGGUGGAGCUGGUGGAUUUACUCGAAUCAAAGUAAGUGCGACUGUCAAAUACAUUGUGCAAACUUUUUUAGCGGAGGUGACAUUUGAAGGCCACAGGAGAGGGCGUGCUACGGCGUUGUUUUAACAUGUUAACAUAAUACCCGGGUUUAGGAUUAUUUUGUUAGUAAGCAGUGUCAGACUAACCAGAAUGAUAUAGCUCUAAUAGGUGGUGUGUCGGUCGUCCGAGGCCUAUAUAGAAUCAUUGUUUCUGUAUUUGUCUACGAUACAGCGCGGGGAUAUUAGGCUCCUAUAAUGGGAAGGGGCGGGUGUGUCUUUACCGAGGCAAACGUAGGCUAUAGACGUGGAAUUCAUCUAAAUCCAGCAGUGAAGGAGUUGGGUCUAUAUCACAGUAGUCUGCUGACUUAUCAAAGAAUAUAGAGGAGUCGUUCCUCACUCUUGCGAUGCGUUUAUACCACAAUAACUCAAUCAUAAUUAAGUGCACAGGCGGACUGACCCUGUAUAGUCUAAUUAAGAUAAGCUUUAACUCGAGAGGAAAGCAGAGAGCGAAUUCCUCAAGGCCCCACCCUUUGUAGAGCAACAUGGAUGUGGAGAGUUGCCCCCUCCUCCUCCUCCUACUCUCUCUCUCUCUCUCUCUCUCUCCCUCCCUCCCUCCGCGUCAUUCAUUUCCCUUUUAAACCUUGUCUUAUGUUGUUUUCCCACUUCGGUGUCUACAGGUGCCUACUGUCGUCUUGUCUUUUAACCAACUUUAGAUCAUGGCAUCAAGAUCUACUUCCAGGAGUCUACAGAGGUGUUAAUUGGUGGAGAUUGUAGUUGUGAAGGAUUCAUAAGAAAUGCCCAGCACUGACAAGCUUCUCUGGUUAAAUUGCAAAAGUAAGAAUGUCCUUCCCCCCCCCCCAAUUCUAAACGAUGAAUCAAAGCAAUUACACUUUCAGGCCGGAGAUGCUUUGGAAAUGCUUGUUAGUUGCACAGGGCUUUCAUCGGCUUCCCCCACUGCCUUUCCUUUCCUAAAGAGUGCCCGGCCUGCUGUAAUUAUCCCCUCUUUGGGUAGGAAUAGUGAAUUAUACAUGAUGCUGCAGGCUGGUCAGAGGAUCCCACCAUUUGAAGGCCCAGGCCUGUUUUUAAAAGAAAUAACCUCGCCGGUGGUAAUAAUGUCAGAGUCCAAGGACAUGCCCCACCCAUGCAGGAAAGGCUGUGUUGGGACCGGUUUCACAUAACGUAUAUACAAUAACGUAUUUACAAGGCCUCUUUUACUUUGGUUACAAUGACACGUUAUGGGUGUUAAAGGACUGGUAUGUGAUGUGAAAUUGUUAGAAGGAACUGCAUGAAACAUUGUCCGGAUUAAAGUUCACACCAUUGUUAUGCAUUAAGUAAAAAAAUAACUAAAUCUGCAGCCUCAGUAGCUACAUUCUUGCUAUUCAAGGGUAAUAACUGUUGAUUUUUGAAGAAUGACUUUAUUAAGUCAGUUGCUGUUCAGAUGACAUCCUUAUUCACCACUACGGACUCUACUGCUACUUACUGUACAGUAUACCUAUCUUCACUGUUAAGAAGUUACUUCCUUGUGGGCUUCUUUCUACCCUCUCUUUCCUUGGUCAUCUUGUUGAGAGUUAGCUUUGUCUGAGCUUUGAUUGUUUAGCCACAUUGAAUUGACCUGUGUGUGUGUGUGUGUAUGUGUGUGUGUUUAAGCUGGCACAGUCAUUAUCUCUGCAUGGCUAGAUGUGAUUAACACAGCCGUCCAGCAGUGACGCCCAUUGCGCCACACCCCAUACCCAAACACACAGAAAGGGCAUGUAAGAGGGAAGAAAGAUUGAAAUCUGGUGAUGUGCCAGCAAUUUUGUGUUCCUAUGCCCUAGGAUCUAGAGUCAAAUGUCAAGUCAGCCUAAGACUCUUGUGUAGUGUGUGUGUGUGUGUGUGUGUGUGUGUGUGUGUGUGAGAGAGAGAGUAAAUUCAGGGGUCAGCAAAUUUGGAAGGUUUGACAAAAAGGCCUUUUACUCAACUUUCCAAAAUAUCCACAGUAGGAUCUGGAACCGAUUUACCCCCUCAGAGUUGCUGACAUUGAUCAGAACGAUAGCAUGUAAAAAUGUGUCAUUUCUGAGUCCUCCUCUGCUAAUUUAAACCUAUAAAUGACCAAUCCAUCAUGACUUGUUGUAAGUGAGCAUGGCUGAACAUUGAUUGUUAUUGAUGGCCAAUCAAAGAGGGGAGGAUCUGCGGUGGAAAUGCGGUAGCUGCAGUAAGGUUGCACAUUUGUAUGGCCACACCCAGACAGCCUAAGAGAGCUAACUUUUACUAGCUUAGGCUAAUUUUUACACACUUUCGGAUCGACAGCAUUGUUUGUUAAAUAUCUAUAUGUUUCUUCUAAUGUCCAUUUACAGUUGUUUCUCAAGUACAGAAAUUGUAAUUGUGUUAAAAGGGUGUGUGUCUGGUUAAGAGACAAGUGUUGACGUGCUGUGUAUAGUAUCGUCUGAUGAAAAGACAGAUGUACUCUCGGUUCGUGCUUGCAUGUGCACGCAUUCCCAGGACAAGGAUGUGUGGGUGUGUGCAGCAUGUCAAAUUCUAAGAUAGAGUAGUUUGGUGAUGCAGCGCUUACAGUAUUAUACAGUAACUGUGUCCAAGACUAUAUUGUUACUGCCUCAAAUGGAGAGGGAUAGUCACCACUCCUCAGCAGGGCUGUGUGUGGUUUGCCAGGCUAGUACACAUGUACAACACAUGUUGCACUGUGUGUGUGCCUGGCCACUAGAAAGGUUCCUUCUAGCAACAAAAAUGUAAAACUAUAUACACAUUCAUAGAGCCAGAGGUAGUAGCCUGAGGGAAGAGAUAUACAGAGAAAGAAACUACAGCAGCCGGUAUGCAAGCACAGAGAGUUAAAUUGAAACGUAACUGUAGUUCUGAACUUCAAUUCUAGCCUCAUGCAGGCACAGGCUGAGCUAAACUUAAGCAGUGUAAAGAUUAUUUUAGUUUAAAGCAAUGCUGUAGCUUGCUCAGAUUUGGGCUAGUCUCUGCAGGGCCAGCGGUGAGGAGCAGUGGGCCUCUUGGCAGACCGGCUGGAAUGUGGACCAUAUGUAGCAGGCAUUCCAGGAAUGUAACUCGGCCUUGCUGAACUGACCAACCUAAAGACACAGAGGGAGCAGGAUAAGGAGGAGAGAAAGGGAUAAAAUGAAGGGAGCGCAAGGACGAUGAUAUUUCCCUUUUUCGGUUUAGUUACCGUGGCAAAUUAGGGGAAAUAAGUGUUUCUUUCAUGUAUGUUAACCAAAAUAAAAUGAUUCAUCAU
Etheostoma cragini (Arkansas darter) is the source of this 3980-nucleotide long non-coding RNA. RefSeq lists it as uncharacterized. The record is from RefSeq and is a predicted model, not a curated record. The transcript is spliced from 2 exons. Lineage: Eukaryota; Metazoa; Chordata; Actinopteri; Perciformes; Percidae.